CGUGUCAUCUCUAACCCAAAAUUCGAAUUGAGCAUCAGCCUCAGCUGGCAAUAUAAAAUUGAAAAAUUGGAUUUUCUUUCAACAGCUGCUCUUAUUAAAUUACAUAUAUUCUCGGUUUAAGAUGACACUACUCUUAUAUCAACUAGCUAGUGGGAUCUAUCUGUCAAAGAAUAUCUUAACCAACAUAAUCCGAAAUGAAUAAAGCUACCACGACAAGGGGAAAUUGAAAACGAACAGUUUGGUGUGUAACAUAUCCCCGAAAACUAUUUUUCCUAAACACAUCAUCCCGAAUGUUUUAUCCCCGAAUGUACCGUUUUUCCGAAUGUAACAUUCCCUCAAAUUUAAUUGUUUUUCGAAAUCCCCCCACCCCCGCAGAAAUCACCUUGUGCAGACAAUAUGUAAAAGAGAUAAGUUACUGCUUUCCGAAAUUUCAAUUUAUACGCUACCUCUUUCAAAAGUGUACUCAAUUUUAAAGUGAACACAGUUAAUAGAAGACAUUUGUCAUUUUACGCUACAAAAUUGAUCAAUAUUAUCAAUACAUAAAGAAUAUCGAUAUUCUCGAUUAAUAUCGACAACUUUCCUCCCCUAUCGUAAAAAGUAAAUAAAUAAUCUUUGAACAGUGAAAAGUGAAAAAUCCUCAGCAGUAAAUCUAUGCCUACAUAAUUGUAACAAUCUAACGUUAUGAAUUAUUAGUAAUAAGUAUUGCCAAAAAUCAGUUUAUGCUGGUUCUAUCUAAAGUGGCAAUUAUUGAAAACUUUAUAGAAAAACAAAAAACUCACAAGAAACGACAAGCAGGUGUGAAGGCUGACAGGAAAAAGAGAAAAACAAAAUCAUCUGAAAAAAAACUGAGAAUGUUAGAGCAUUUGCAAUCACAAAAGCAAACGAUUUCAACAUAAGGAAGAUAUUUUUUAACUGAAAAACAGCUUAUUCCCCGAUAGAUAAAACACCGGAAGAACCUGCUCUGUUUUGAACGCCGUCGUUAGGCCUCGUUGAAAAAUUUGAUAAAGAAAUCACAAAAUUAGGUGUAAGUGUAAAACACCAAAAUCAGGUGUAACCUUCAGGGCUUCUGACCUCUUUGAGCUUUGCUACCAGAAGUGAUAUGAAUAGUAAUUUUCACCGAUGUGAGAAUGUGUACAUACGAUUUUGUCAAUCAUCAUUAUAUUUCAAGCUGAUGUAUAAAGAAUCAUUAUUACUGAAUUUCCAAAAGUUAUAGGUUUUUCUGGUCAAAAGGUUUCCUACAGACGUUCUUAUGACAUUCUGAGUAAAACUAGUUUUGAAAGCAUAUUGCUGUGCACAAAACUGCGUUUUUAACUCUUGUACUAUAGCUGUAAAUUGGUUGUUCAAACUUAUGAUUGUCAUCAAGACACCGUACAUUUUUUUGUUACACCUCACAUAUUUUACAAUAAAACCUGGUCGGAAAUCAAUGUUAUCAAUACGGCAAUGCUUCACUGUGGUUAAUCUAUCGGGCAAGUCAAACAAUAUGCUUUUAAAUUCAAGAUACUCUUUUGAAAUUUGUUCUUCGCUUAGAAUAUGAAUUUUACCUAGUGUGUAAUCAUGUUUUAAAAUAUCAUAAUUCUGUUUUAGAUUCAUUCUCUUCAUAAGACUACAGGUAAUGUUUUUGAAAUUUAUACAGUUUCUGGUUAUGCUUUUAGAAGCUUUGAACUUGGCUUCGAAUGCCAAACAGCUUCCAAAACAUAUUGGCUGAUUUUUCUGAAGUAUCAUCGGGUAGUGACUAAUAUGGCGAAGUUUAUUUAUUGGACGUAGAUUAGUGAAACAUCUUUUAAAACAACUGUGUAGAUCAGAUAUACAAAACUUCAAAUCCUCUAACGUAUCAGAAGAAACUUUACUAGAAAAUGAUAUGAAUGUAAGUUCGAGUAAAUUUUUUAUUAUAGCCGCGAAGUCUGCAUUACGGUCAAGAAUAUCAUUAAAAACGAAUGGGAAAAUUCUCAAUAACAGCCAUGUCUGCGAAGCUGAUUGACUCAAAGCAUUACCUUUUGUUUUUAAUAACUUUGACGAUAAAUUACUGGAUGGUUUAUCGCGAAUUUCAAUUGCACCAUAAUCAAAAUUAUCGAUUCUUGAAUUAAUUUCAUCACAAGUUAAUAAUUUUUGUUCAUUUACAGAAAUGUUCAAUAUAUGUUUGAUCAUCAUGGGAGCUAUGCCCUCUAAUAUAUCAUGCAUUGGAUCGAAACACCAAUUGUCCGCCAUAUUAAAAUGUACUAAAGAGUUUAAUAUGCACCGAUUGGCAACACCACUAUCGGAGGGCAUUUGGAUUUUUUGUUCAACAGCUGCUAAAUCUCUAGCCAUACUUGCAGCAGUUCUUUCUGGAAACGUUGCCCCGAAAUUACCCUCCAUUAUAUCGCCCCGUGAAAUGUAGCAUUGCCUGCAGAAAUACGAUGCUUGAGGACCUAGUAACUGAAAAAAAUCAUGCACAGCCAGCGUAUCACCAACUACAUUGCAUAAAACUGCUCUCAAUGUGAAUGUUUGUCCAUUUAUGAUUAGCGGUAUUCCUUCAUCGGAUUCCAAUCUUUUCAAAUCUCGUAAUAACGGUUUUAGAACCUUCUCAUAGCCAUAUUUUUUCAAAAGGACGGAUCGAACCAUGAGAAUCGUAUAAAUGCUACGCGGUGAUGAAUUCACAACCGGAUGAAGGUUUUGAAUUUUAAUGCUAAUGUUGGUGAUUUUCUUUUUUCCUUUCCUGGAUCCCAAAGGGUUGAGAUAUUCAACGUCAUCAACGUGUAGUGAUAGGCGCAGAGCAUUCGGGUAUCGUUGAAAAUAAGAAUGGUUUUUGAACUGCCACCCAUCCUUGAAGGAACAUGUGCCAUCAUUUCGCGGUUCUUCAGUAUUGACCAUCUUUCUCGCAUCACCAUUGUUCAUUAUUAAUCGAAAUUUUGGUAGCGGGCUCUUCGUUUCGAACCUAGACAAACUAGUUUCUUUAUUUUGCGCUUCGAAAGUAACACUUCCUCAGUAACUGGCAUUGCGCAUUUACUUUGCAUAGCGAGCUGAUCUAUAGUGUCGUUAAACGAUCUUAUGGCCCCAAAAAUUUCUGGUAUUUCCAGCUCAUUAAAUAAUUUUACCACCGAUGAAUCAUUGAAUUGAAUAUUGGAUCUUGAAAAAAAUCUUUUCACAACCGUUAACGUAUAUUACUGACUCAAUUCCAAUCCAGCAGCACAGCCGUCCAUGAAAUGUUGAAUUUUAUUCUCUGGCAAAGAGUCAUCGCAACGCAUGCGUGUGACACGGUCUAUCUUUUCAGUGGUUAGCUCUUUUAUACCAACAGAUUUUUCGUAAUAUCGUUUUUUUAUUACAUUCGCAUAUCCCAUUUCAUUAUCAAGAUUUUUAUCAUCAUUCUCUAAAAUGGGAUUGGGAAUGGUUUCAGGAGGUGAAUAGAUAAUUGGAUGACGUUUUAUUAGAUGUUCCUGGAGAUGAUAAAAGCUGGCGUAGACUGCAUUGCACAUGCUGCAUUUAAGCGGUGGCCAACACUUGCUGUGUGUUUUCAAGCCAUGUACUGACUUGCAAUGUUGUUUUAUCUCAUUUAUAUGGCCCUCGAUGAUCUGAUCACAUCCGUCAACGGAACAUACAAAUCGUUGAGAAUCUGGUAAUUCAAUAAAGUUCUCGAUAUAGAUAAGUUCUUAACUAUGGUCAGGCCCGGAUUUGAGGAGGGCCUAGUUGCAAAUGCCCCGGGCCUCCCGACUGGAGGGCCCCCCUUAGACGAAGUGAAGACCUCUUAUUUGGCUCGUCACCUUACAGCGGUGCGAAGGUGUAGCACAAUUUUUCGUCGAAUUUGCCCCGGGUCCCCUAACGCCCAAAUUCGGCCCUGACUAUGGUCUCUGUUUAAUUAAAUUUAAUUUAGGUUUAAUUUCAGAAUAAAAAUUAUUGCGUCAGCUAAAAAAUCCAAGUUUAAUGAUAUUUAAUUUAGGUGUAGUUUAAGAAUAAAAAUUAUUGCGUUAGCUAAAAAAUGUUCGUUGAAACUAUAAUUUCUAAGUAUUUCAAGAGAUUGUGGGAUAACAAUAUCUGUUAAAUCUAAGCGUAUCACUAACCUUUUAUUUUUUCAAAUGUUUCGGAAUCCAAAAUACGUUUUAGCUGAUCCAUGGUUCUGGAAGAAUGAAAAAAAAAAAACAUAUAUAUCCUAUAAACAGUUAGUCAAGCCUAAGGCAAUCGAAAAUAUAUAUUUUUCAAUUAAAGUUUAAUAAAUACCUUUAUUUUUCCGUUAA
Molecule: RNA transcript, 4205 nt
Organism: Wyeomyia smithii (pitcher-plant mosquito)
Lineage: Eukaryota; Metazoa; Arthropoda; Insecta; Diptera; Culicidae
Exons: 3
Source: RefSeq, a predicted model, not a curated record